This 358-nucleotide ribosomal RNA is filed under the name Asiorrhina parasiatica. RNAcentral describes it as "12S ribosomal RNA". Lineage: Eukaryota; Metazoa; Arthropoda; Insecta; Diptera; Keroplatidae. The record is from RNAcentral.
UAAAAUUUAAAAUUAUAAAUAUAUUAGAUUAUUAAUUGUUAUUAUCUUGAAAUUUAAAAAAUUUGACGGUAUUUUAUCUAUUCAGAGGAACUUGUUUUUUAAUUGAUAAUCCUCAUUAUAUCUUUCUUAUAUUAUAAAAUUUAUAUACCGUCAUUAUAAAAAAAUCUUUAUAAAGAAUAAAUUUUUAAUUUAAAUAUUUAUUAUUUAAUAUUUUAGAUCAAGGUGUAGUUUAUAUUUAAGUUAAAAUGAGUUACAAUAAAUUUAUUUAAAUGGAAUAAUUUAUGAAAUUAAUUUAUAAAGGUGGAUUUGUUAGUAAAUUUAUUUAAUAAAUUAAAUUGAAAUUAGAUCUAAAAUGUGU